This is a long non-coding RNA of Teleopsis dalmanni, 1408 nucleotides long. RefSeq lists it as uncharacterized. Lineage: Eukaryota; Metazoa; Arthropoda; Insecta; Diptera; Diopsidae. The transcript is spliced from 4 exons. The record is from RefSeq and is a predicted model, not a curated record.
UUAUUUUAUUUACCUGAUAUGACUUUAUUGAGAUAUUAAUCUUGAUUGGUAUCUAUCUCUCUCUAAUUCGUACGUAUUUGGUUUGGUGAAAAUUUACACUUAUGUGAUUAAUUAUCAUUUACUUAGGAUUUUACAGGUAAUACAAUUACCAGACUCCUUGAUGAGCUCUUGUAUUAAAAUCAUUUUAUUAUUUUAUUUAAUAAUACACCUAGACGACGUACUUUCUUUUUUUGUUAGACUUUUGUAGAGUUUUACUGGCAAAAAAAUUAUUUACUAUCUCUGUGGGACUCAAUCGUACUAAAAGCGUAUUAUCUUAGAGGAUAAUUUUAAAACUAUUAGAUUUGAAAUCUAAGUAGUGAAUGCUGAAAGGAGAAGACUAAAAGUAACAGUUCAGAGAUUCGUUGACUUUUCCCUGAUAUAAUUAGAUGAAACUGAGGGAGAGAAGAACCAAGUGUAACUUUAAACCCUGAAUUGUCGUUUUAGGAGUGUGAUAUCACUCCUAUUUUCCGAAUUUGUGCUUAAGCGAUGAAUUGCAGUUCUGCGGUUGAUUCAAGGCAAACAGAGGUUCGAAGACGUACACGUUUCGUAUUGUAAAUCGCUCUAUACACAAAGUUUCAUGUUCAUAAGUGGAUUUCUGCAGACAAGCAGUCGCCAACGUAAAUAAAAAGCGAAAUAAAUAUUUGCACAAUUUAAACAUUUGCGAAACACUGAGGCAUUAAAACUUACCAUAACCAUUUACCAUUUAAAAAUGUCUAUAAAAAGUUUAAACUUUAAUAUAUAUGAAAUGAAGAGUUCAUCAAUAUGCUAUUAGCCUAAUAGUUUCUAAUGGAGGCUUCUUUCAGUGUGAAAAGGUUGAACAUUCCAUCCAAACAGGUGUCAUAGCUGGACACUGUCUUAUAAAAUCACAAUCCUCAAAAAUGAAUGAAUAUAUCUAAUACCUAUUGCAGCUGUCGUAGUAACGAGAAGGAAGAAAAAUCCAUCAUAAAAUCUACUGUGUUCCUGCUCAGCGUGUAGCAAAAAGUUAAUGACUAUUUUAAGUCGCUAUCAAUUGGAAUAUAUGUAUUACUUUCGUGAGCAGGUUGACAAUAUAAUACAAGUUUACCAGAUCUUGUGACAUGAUCAAAAUAAUUCAAAAAGUACCAAGAAAUUUUAUUAGGUGUGCUACAGAUAUUAUGCGGUUUCCUGAUGGGUUCGUUCAUUAUAGGUUUUCAAUUAAUGGUAGUCAAUAAUCACUCCUACUUAUCAGAAAAUUUUAUUUUUCAAUGGCUGAAUAACAUCUAAAGCCACUAUGUAUUAUUAUUAUAAUUACGGGAUGUGACAAUGCUACCAUCGGAUCUAUUGUACCUUCUUCUGGGUUUAGAGAAGAUCUCUAAGCCCUGUUGCGUCAAUAAAAGUAGUAUAGAACCUA